UUGGAGGGCAAGUCUGGUGCCAGCAGCCGCGGUAAUUCCAGCUCCAAUAGCGUAUAUUAAAGUUGUUGCAGUUAAAAAGCUCGUAGUUGAAUUUCGGGAUCAGUAGGUUGGUCAUGCCAAUGGUAUGUACUGGCUUUACUGAUUCCUCCUUCUUGAUGAUCUGUAAUGUCAUUAAUUUGGUGUUGCAGGGAGUCAGGACUGUUACUUUGAAAAAAUUAGAGUGUUUAAAGCAGGCAUGCGCUUGAAUACAUUAGCAUGGAAUAAUGAAAUAGGACGUUCGAUCCUAUUUUGUUGGUUUCUAGGAUUGACGUAAUGAUUAAUAGGGAUAGUUGGGGGCAUUAGUAUUCAAUUGUCAGAGGUGAAAUUCUUGGAUUUAUUGAAGACUAACUACUGCGAAAGCAUUUGCCAAGGAUGUUUUCAUUAAUCAAGAACGAAAGUUAGGGGAUCGAAGACGAUCAGAUACCGUCGUAGUCUUAACCAUAAACUAUGCCGACUAGGGAUCGGAUGAUGUUAUUUUUAAUGACUCAUUCGGCGCCUUACGGGAAAC
RNAcentral lists this ribosomal RNA (547 nucleotides) under uncultured Glomus. RNAcentral's name for it is "SSU rRNA". It matches the Rfam family "Eukaryotic small subunit ribosomal RNA", at positions 548 to 1098 of the family's 1831-position model. The record is from RNAcentral. Lineage: Eukaryota; Fungi; Glomeromycota; Glomeromycetes; Glomerales; Glomeraceae.